RNAcentral lists this ribosomal RNA (465 nucleotides) under Escherichia coli. Its description in RNAcentral is "bacterial SSU rRNA". It matches the Rfam family "Bacterial small subunit ribosomal RNA", at positions 338 to 795 of the family's 1533-position model. The record is from RNAcentral. Lineage: Bacteria; Pseudomonadati; Pseudomonadota; Gammaproteobacteria; Enterobacterales; Enterobacteriaceae.
CCUACGGGAGGCAGCAGUGGGGAAUUUUGGACAAUGGGCGAAAGCCUGAUCCAGCAAUGCCGCGUGUGUGAUGAAGGCCUUCGGGUUGUAAAGCACUUUUGGCGGGAACGAAAAGGACUGUGCCAAUACCACGGUUCGAUGACGGUACCCGCAGAAUAAGCACCGGCUAACUACGUGCCAGCAGCCGCGGUAAUACGUAGGGUGCAAGCGUUAAUCGGAAUUACUGGGCGUAAAGCGUGCGCAGGCGGUUUUGCAAGACCGAUGUGAAAUCCCCGGGCUUAACCUGGGAACUGCAUUGGUGACUGCAAGGCUAGAGUGUGUCAGAGGGAGGUGGAAUUCCGCGUGUAGCAGUGAAAUGCGUAGAUAUGCGGAGGAACACCGAUGGCGAAGGCAGCCUCCUGGGAUAACACUGACGCUCAUGCACGAAAGCGUGGGGAGCAAACAGGAUUAGAUACCCUAGUAGUC